CGCUGCGCCGCGCCGCACCGGCGGACGUUUGCCCGGCAGAGGCGCGCGGGACGGCCUCGAGGGUCAGCUGUUGGUUACCCCGCGGAGUGCCACGCGUCUGCUCUCGUGGUGCCCCGUUGUUGGGGGGGAGUGAGAAGGAGAAAGGCAGAGCAGAGAGCGCGCAACGCGGUCGCCGUGGCAACGCGGUUGAGUGGGCGUUUCGCCGAGCGUCGCCGUCAGAGGUAGUCGGCGAGCUCACGUCCACAUGGCGAAGCCGGCUUACCGUGCCCGAUCCGGAGCCCCGCGGUGCCCCCCGGUGAGAGCGUGGGGUGUCUGCAGGUCGCGCGCGAAACGCCACAGCAAAACUGCAAAUGGCAAUCGAUACAAAGAGCUCAAUAGCGCUAUCUGAUAGAGCACAUUCUGAGCUAAUAUUUUUCACUAUUUUUCAACGCAGUCACCACCAUUACCUACAUUUUCAUCAGCAAUGAGCAAAAGCCUGCAUGACUGGUAAAAAUGGAGAUGGAUUAUUGUUGCUGUCUCCACUCCUGAGAUGCACCACCGUUGCAUCACUGUGAUCACAUCCCCAUAAGAUUCAGAGGGCAUCUAUGAAUGUCAAUGGGUCCCAUUUUUUUUCACAUGGAGGAAUUCAAUGACACACUUUUUCUUCAUACACUCUUCCACAUCAGACGCCAUUCUGUCAGACUGUCCCACUGCUGCCAUCUGUUGCACAGCGACAAAAUCUUCAUGUCCUUGUGCUGAGGGCUCCAUUCCUGGACACAGUACUGCAGGUAGAGCCUCAAGAGCAAAGAGGGACAAUCACCUCCCUCAUGCUGCUGGCUAUCCCUUUUUUUUCACACAGCUCAGGAUACAGUUGGACUUCCAGGCUGUAAAUGCUCACUGCUAGCUCAUGUCAAGCUUCUCAUCCACCAGAAGAAUCAUAGAAUCAUUAAGGUUGGAAAGUACCUCCAGGAUCAUCUACUCCAGCCAUCAACCCAUCACUGCCAUGCCCACUAAACCAUGUCCCUCAGUGCUGCAUCUACCCUUUUCUUGAUGAUGACUCCACCACUUCCCCGGGCAGCCUGUUCCAAGGUGCUACCACUCUGUCUAAGAAGAAAUUCUUCCUAAUUUCUUUCUAAUCUAAACUGAACCUCCCGUGGUGCAACUUGAAGCCAUUACCUCUUGUCCUGUCACUAGCCACCUGGGAGAAGAGGCCUUAGUCCCACCUUUGUACAACCUCCUGUCAAGCAGUUGUGGAAAGCAAUAGGUUCUCACCUGAGCCUUCUCUUCGCCAGACUAAACAAUCCCAGUUUAUUCAGCUGCUCCUUGUAAGCCUUGUGCUCCAGAUCCCUCACCAACUUCAUUGUCCUUCUCUGUACAUGCUCCAGUGCCUCAGUGUCUGUCUUGUUAGUGAGGGGCCCAAAACUGAGCACACUACUCAAAGUGUGGCUUCACCAGUGCCAAGUACAGAGGUAUAAUCAUCUCCCUGUUCCUGC
Long non-coding RNA from Gallus gallus (chicken), 1472 nucleotides. The record is from Ensembl. NCBI's taxonomy places the organism in Eukaryota, Metazoa, Chordata, Aves, Galliformes, Phasianidae.